RNAcentral lists this ribosomal RNA (1360 nucleotides) under Abraximorpha davidii. RNAcentral's name for it is "16S ribosomal RNA". Lineage: Eukaryota; Metazoa; Arthropoda; Insecta; Lepidoptera; Hesperiidae. The record is from RNAcentral.
GGGGAAGAUUUAAUAAUAAUAAAUUAAUAAUAAAAAAAUUUUUAAAAUAUAUUUUAAUGGGGGUUAAAGUAAUUUUUUAAAAAAAAUUUAUAAAUUUAUAGUUAAGUAGUAUUGUAUAAGAAUGUUGAAAUAAUUGAAAAUUUAAUUAUAAUUAAAGUAAAUUUAAUUUAUUGUAUCUUGUGUAUCAGAGUUUAUUAAUAAAAAUUUUUAAGUAAAUAAAUCUCGAAUUUUAAAAGAGAUAAUUAAUUAAAAAAGUUAUUGUUUCAUAAAUAUUUUAAAUAAUUAAUUUGAAAUGAAAUGUUAAUCGUUUUUAAAGAUAUCUAGUUUUUUUUAGAAAUAAAUUUAAUUUAGAAUUUUUUUUAAGAUAUUUAAUUUUUAAAUUAAAUAUCUUAAAAAAAAAUUUAAUAUUUUAGGGGAUAAUCUUUAAAUUAAAUUUUUAUAAUUAUAUAAAAUGAAAAUUAAAAUUUUUAAAAUUUAUAUUGUUUAUAAAUUAUAUAUUUUUAUAAAAAAUUUUAUUUAUAAAAAAAUUUUUAAAAUAAAAAUUUAAUUUUUUAUAAAAAAAUAAUUUUAUUAAAAAAAAAAUUAGUUAUAAUGAUAAAAUUAGUAUAUAAUAUAUAUAUAUAUAUAUAUAUAUAUUUAAAUAAUUAAUUAAAAGGAAUUCGGCAAAUAUUAAUAUUCACUUGUUUAUCAAAAACAUGUCUUUUUGUUAAAAAUUUAAAGUCUAAUCUGCCCACUGAUAUUAAUUAAAGGGCUGCAGUAUAUUGACUGUACAAAGGUAGCAUAAUCAUUAGUCUUUUAAUUGAAGACUUGUAUGAAAGAUUUGAUGAAAUAUUAACUGUCUCUUAAUUAAAAUUAAAAUUUAAUUUUUUAGUAAAAAAGCUAAAAUAUAUUUAAAAGACGAGAAGACCCUAUAGAGUUUUAUUAUUAAUUUAUUUUUAAUAUUAAAUAAAUUUUUUUUUUUAUAAAUAUAAAUUAAUAAUUUUAUUGGGGUGAUAAAAAAAUUAAAUAAACUUUUUUAAAUAACUAAAACAUUAAUGUAUGAAUUUUUGAUCCAUAAUUUAUGAUUAAUAGAAAAAAUUACCUUAGGGAUAACAGCGUAAUUUUUUUUUUUAGUUCAAAUAAAAAAAAAAGUUUGCGACCUCGAUGUUGGAUUAAGAUAAAAUUUAAAUGUAGAAAUUUAAAAUUUUGAUCUGUUCGAUCAUUAAAAUCUUACAUGAUCUGAGUUCAAACCGGUGUAAGCCAGGUUGGUUUCUAUCUUUAAAAAAUUAGAAUAUUUUAGUACGAAAGGAUUAAAUAUUUAAAAUAAUUUUAAGUUAAAAGAAUAUUAUUAAAUUAUAAUAAAAAUUAAUAAAUUAAAUUU